Long non-coding RNA from Calliphora vicina (urban bluebottle blowfly), 389 nucleotides. RefSeq lists it as uncharacterized. NCBI's taxonomy places the organism in Eukaryota, Metazoa, Arthropoda, Insecta, Diptera, Calliphoridae. The record is from RefSeq and is a predicted model, not a curated record. The transcript is spliced from 2 exons.
UUUGCGGCUAAAAGUGGUAAGGUGACAGAACAGCCACCGAAACGAGACAUCAAAUGUUACAACUGCAACAGCAAGGGACAUAUAGCAAGCGAUUGCCGUAAACCUAAACGUGAAGACGGUGCUUGUUUUGCGUGUGCUGGAUUCGGACAUCAAGCCAAGGAUUGCGAGUUAUAUAGGAAAACUGAGAGGAAGAACGAGCAAAAUGAUUAUAAUGUCUCAUAGAUUCUGGCAGCCCCAUCAGUUUCAUAAGGCGGUCAAAUGUUCCAAUCGCUGUAGAAAUUUUUGAAAGCGGAAAGAAAACUUACUUUGGUAUAAAUAAAAGUGAAUUGAAAAUUAAUGGAAUUAUAGAAUGUUUAGUUUUGUUUGCGAAUAAAAAUAUUGUAACGAAA